This 1185-nucleotide ribosomal RNA is filed under the name Triticum aestivum (bread wheat). Its description in RNAcentral is "partial small subunit ribosomal RNA". Lineage: Eukaryota; Viridiplantae; Streptophyta; Magnoliopsida; Poales; Poaceae. The record is from RNAcentral.
CUCGGUUGCACUAAUGGCAGCCGGCCGCCCACUAGACGUGUCCAACAUUCUGUAUUACGGCACGGAUGAAGUAAUUGGCUAUUGUGCAUAAGAUCCCGAAAACCAAUAUAUCCAGUUCGCUGCCUAUCCUUGUGCCCUCGCCGUCGCAGCCGCCGCCCAACCGUCGCGCCCGCGAACUCCUCACGAGAGAAUUUUUGGGUCCUGAUCCGAGGAGAGGAGAUGUCGGACAGCGAAGAGCACCAGUUCGAGUCGAAGGCAGACGCCGGCGCUUCCAAGACCUACCCGCAGCAGGCCGGCACCAUUCGCAAGAACGGCUACAUCGUCAUCAAGAACCGCCCCUGCAAGGUUGUGGAGGUUUCAACAUCUAAAACCGGGAAGCAUGGUCAUGCCAAGUGCCACUUUGUUGCUAUUGACAUCUUCACCGGCAAGAAACUUGAAGAUAUUGUGCCAUCUUCUCACAACUGUGAUGUUCCUCAUGUGAAUCGCACAGAAUACCAGCUCAUUGAUAUAUCUGAGGAUGGAUUUGUGAGUCUGCUGACUGAUAAUGGUAACACCAAAGAUGACCUCAAGCUCCCAACUGAUGAAACCCUCCUUGGCCAGAUCAAGGAUGGGUUUGCUGAAGGGAAGGACCUGGUGGUGUCUGUCAUGUCCGCCAUGGGAGAGGAGCAGAUUAAUGCGCUCAAGGACAUCGGCCCCAAGUAAUCAGCCCGUUAGCCAUGGGAUGCACUAUUUUCUCAAGUGUCGUUCAUUUGUGUCUGCCGGUUAAGAUGGAUUUGGGUGUCACAGCCAUUGAGGAAUUUUACCUUUUUGCAGAACUAAGUUGUCAGUGUUUGGUUGAUUUGUAGUCCUAAAUUCAUGGGUGAUUGUAUCCUAAAACGUCGCCCCGGGGUUUUAUUGACCCCUCUUGACUAUUGGUGUUGCUGGUGUUGCAGUGUGGAGGUGCAACUUUUGACAGCUGGAGAUACUACUGCCCAGAAAGACAGCGGGCAGAUGAGUUUUGUUGCCAAUUUUUGUCAUGGCGAAUGGAAGCUUCGGUGGUUUGAUUAUUACUUCAUUACUCUCGGAACAAAGUUGCUUUCUGUCAUUGUCAGAGUGGUCUUGUACGGCAUCCUCACGCAAGGUGUUUUAGCCUCCUACGGUUCACAUGAUGAAAUGUAAAAGAUUGUGAAAUUAGAGAGUGAACUC